GGGGUUAUGGCUCAAUGGUAGAGUGAUUGCCUAGCAUGUGUGAGGCUCUGGGUUCAAUUCCCAGCACCUCA
Molecule: non-coding RNA, 71 nt
Organism: Ictidomys tridecemlineatus (thirteen-lined ground squirrel)
Lineage: Eukaryota; Metazoa; Chordata; Mammalia; Rodentia; Sciuridae
Source: Rfam